Molecule: ribosomal RNA, 1782 nt
Filed under: Triticum aestivum (bread wheat)
Lineage: Eukaryota; Viridiplantae; Streptophyta; Magnoliopsida; Poales; Poaceae
Description: partial small subunit ribosomal RNA
Source: RNAcentral
AUGCAGGAGGGAAGACCCCUGUCUUAUUUCAGUAAGUCAAUAGGACCCAAGGCAGCAGCAUGGUCCACCUAUGACAAAGAAGCACUAGCAAUUAUUGAGGCUGUGAAAAAGUGGAAACACUAUUUCCUAGCUACUUCUUUGAUUAUCAGAACUGACCAGGAAAGUUUGAAGUACAUCCAAGAGAAAAAGCUAACUGAGGGAAUACAACAUAAGCUCUUGCUAAAGUUGUUGGGUUACAAUUUUACAAUGGAGUACAAAAAGGGCAAAGAAAAUAGAGUUGCUGAUGCCUUGUCAAGAGUGAAACACAUGAUUUCCCUCCUUUCCACUAGUGUUACCACCCCAAAAUGGAUAUCUGAAGUCCUCAAAAGCUAUGUUACAGAUCAGAAGGUUAAGGACCUCAUAGCUGAGUGUGCCACCAACAAGGACAACUCCACUGGAUACACCUUCAAGAAUGGGAUCUUGAGGUACAAGAACAAAAUUGUCAUUGGAACUGCAACUUCUCUGAGACAGGAUAUUUUGAAAACAUUCCAUGACUCUGAAUUAGGGGGACACUCAGGAGAAAGAGCAACAUAUCACAGAGUACACUUAGUAUUCCACUGGCAAGGACUUAAACAGGAUGUUAUUAGCUUCAUCAAACAGUGUCCUGUCUGCCAGCUAAACAAAGCUGAGCACACUCCUUACCCUGGCCUUCUUGAACCCCUGCCAGUCCCUGAUUUUGCUUGGGCCCACAUUAGCAUGGAUUUUGUGGAAGGACUGCCCACUUCUGAAAACAAGGACCUUAUUUUGGUUGUAGUUGACAGGUUCACAAAAUACUCCCACUUCAUUGCUAUGAAACAUCCAAUAACUGUCCAAACUGUAGCCAGAGCAUUUUCUGAUACAGUGUUCAAACUACAUGGAAUGCCAUUGGUCAUAGUAACUGACAGGGACAGGAUCUUCACCAGCAAAUUAUGGCAGCAACUGUUUAAAUCCCUCAACAUCAAACUGCACAUGAGCACCAGCUACCAUCCACAAACUGAUGGCCAAACAGAGAGGGUAAACCAAUGUUUGGAGAACUACUUGAGGUGUAUGUGUUUCCAACAGCCAAGAAAGUGGCAUGGCUGGCUAGCUCUAGCCGAAUGGUGGUACAAUACCAGCUUCCAUACUUCUCUGCAAAUGACCCCCUUUCAAGCCUUAUAUGGAUUUCCUCCCCCCAUGGUAGCUGAGUCUGCAUUACCUGACUCCAUUUCCGAGGACAGUGACAAUUUACUGCAAAAUAGAGAACUGGCACUAGAGGUGAUAAAGCAAAAUCUGUCCAAGGCACAGGAAAGAAUGAAGCAUUAUGCUGACAGAAACAGACAGGAAAGAUCCUUCGAGGCAGGAGAUAUGGUUUACUUGAAACUGCAGCCAUAUAGGCACACAUCAUUGAGUCUACAUAGACACCUCAAGCUACAUUCCAAGUUCUAUGGGCCCUUCAGAGUUAUGCAACGAGUAGGCAAAGCUGCUUACCAGCUACUUCUACCUGAAGGCUGUCUCCUACACAACACCUUCCAUGUCAGUCAGCUCAAAAAGCACAUUGGCCCAAGAGUAGUUCCUUCAAAGAACUUGCCCCUGAUAGAUGCUGAUGGAGUUGUAAAAAUGGAACCUGAAGCAAUAUUGGACAAAAAACUAAUUCCCAGACCUCAGGGCAACAUCAACAUUCCAGUCGUCAGAUGGUUGAUCAAGUGGGUCAAUAUGCCUGAAGAAGCAUCUACUUGGGAGGACUCGGCCUUCAUACAGAAGGUUUUUCCUUCCUUUCAAGCUUGA